This 425-nucleotide long non-coding RNA is filed under the name Homo sapiens (human). RNAcentral describes it as "HSALNT0287542". Lineage: Eukaryota; Metazoa; Chordata; Mammalia; Primates; Hominidae. The record is from RNAcentral.
GCAGGAUAUAAGAUUGGAUGUACUGUGAUUUUCUUUCUGUAGGUCUUGCAGGAAGCAGGAGUCACACUUGAGCUGGAGGGCCAUCUCUCUCAAGAUAGAACUACAGUGUGUCUCUUCAUUCUCAGGAACAGGAUCAACAGCUUCCAACUGUAAGUGAUGUUAGGCCUGGUGCAAGAGAAAUCCAGUGGAUUCUUGAGUUUUGGAGAUAUGUAUAGACAUGCCUGGCCAGGGUAGGAAGAAGGGACAAGCAGGGAUGUGGAAGUGAGAACAGCUUAGCUUGGGUAGGGAGCCCCAUCAAUCAUCUCCUUUGUCUUGUACCCCUUUCUCUUCCCUGGAGGUGAGGAUAGGGGUGAUUUGGGAUGAAGCAGGGCCUGCCGCCUUUCCCAUUUCCUCUCUCCUUGUGUUGUUUCUUCUGUCACCUAUUG